RNAcentral lists this ribosomal RNA (492 nucleotides) under uncultured bacterium. RNAcentral describes it as "partial 16S ribosomal RNA". It matches the Rfam family "Bacterial small subunit ribosomal RNA", at positions 29 to 507 of the family's 1533-position model. The record is from RNAcentral.
AGUGAACGCUGGCGGUAGGCCUAACACAUGCAAGUCGAACGGCAGCACAGUAAGAGCUUGCUCUUACGGGUGGCGAGUGGCGGACGGGUGAGGAAUAUAUCGGAAUCUACUUUUUCGUGGGGGAUAACGUAGGGAAACUUACGCUAAUACCGCACACGACCUACGGGUGAAAGCAGGGGAUCUUCGGACCUUGCGCGAUUGAAUGAGCCGAUGUCGGAUUAGCUAGUUGGCGGGGUAAAGGCCCACCAAGGCGACGAUCCGUAGCUGGACUGAGAGGAUGAUCAGCCACACUGGAACUGAGACACGGUCCAGACGCCUACGGGAGGCAGCAGUGGGGAAUAUUAGACAAUGGGCGCAAGCCUGAUCCAGCCAUACCGCGUGGGUGAAGAAGGCCUUCGGGUUGUAAAGCCCUUUUGUUGGGAAAGAAAAGCAGCAGGUUAAUACCCCGCUGUUCUGACGGUACCCAAAGAAUAAGCACCGGCUAACUUCGUG